This 1626-nucleotide ribosomal RNA is filed under the name Lentinus polychrous. RNAcentral describes it as "bacterial LSU rRNA". It matches the Rfam family "Bacterial large subunit ribosomal RNA", at positions 217 to 1997 of the family's 2925-position model. The record is from RNAcentral. Lineage: Eukaryota; Fungi; Basidiomycota; Agaricomycetes; Polyporales; Polyporaceae.
AAAAGACAUCAACCGAGAUUCCGUUAGUAGUGGCGAGCGAACGCGGACCAGGCCAGUGCUUCAUCUUCAGUUAGCAGAACACUUUGGAAAGAGUGGCCAUAGCGGGUGACAGCCCCGUAUGCGAAAACGAUGGAUGAAGACUCGAGUAGGGCGGGACACGUGAAAUCCUGUCUGAACAUGGGGGGACCACCCUCCAAGCCUAAAUACUCGUACAUGACCGAUAGCGAACACAGUACCGUGAGGGAAAGGUGAAAAGCACCCCGAUGAGGGGAGUGAAACAGUACCUGAAACCGAAUGCUUACAAGCAGUAGGAGCCUCUUUAGGGGGUGACUGCGUACCUCUUGCAUAAUGGGUCAGUGACUUAAUGUACCAUGCGAGCUUAAGCCGUUAGGUGUAGGCGCAGCGAAAGCGAGUCUGAACAGGGCGACAGAGUAUGGUGUAUUAGACCCGAAACCCGGCGAUCUAGGCAUGACCAGGUUGAAGGUGCGGUAACACGCACUGGAGGACCGAACCGGUGAAUGUUGAAAAAUUCUCGGAUGAGUUGUGUUUAGGGGUGAAAGGCCAAUCAAGCCGGGAAAUAGCUGGUUCUCCGCGAAAUCUAUUGAGGUAGAGCGUCGAAUGUAUGCCGUUGGGGGUAGAGCACUGGAUGGUUGCGGGGGUCGCGAGAUCUACCAAUACUAACCAAACUCCGAAUACCAACGAGUCUUGUUCGGCAGACAGACGGCGGGUGCUAAGGUCCGUCGUCAAAAGGGAAACAGCCCUAACCUACAGCUAAGGUCCCCAAGUCAUCACUAAGUGGGAAAGCAUGUGGGAAUCCCAAAACAACCAGGAGGUUGGCUUAGAAGCAGCCAUCCUUUAAAGAAAGCGUAACAGCUCACUGGUCUAAAUAAGGGUUCCUGCGGCGAAAAUGUAACGGGGCUAAAGUGAUGCACCGAAGCUUAGGGUUCAGAUCUUUGAUCUGAGCGGUAGCGGAGCGUUCCGUAAGCGAGUGAAGCGGGAGGGUAACCGACCGUGGACGUAUCGGAAGUGCGAAUGCUGACAUGAGUAGCGAUAAAGAGGGUGAGAUGCCCUCUCGCCGAAAGACCAAGGGUUCCUGCUUAAAGCUAAUCUGAGCAGGGUGAGCCGGCCCCUAAGACGAGCCCGAAGGGGGUAGUCGAUGGGAACCACGUUAAUAUUCGUGGGCCUGGUGGUGUGUGACGGAUCUCGUGUAUUGUACAACCUUAUCGGAUUGGUUGUGCUUUGAAGAGGUUCCAGGAAAUAGCCCCACCGUAUAGACCGUACCCGAAACCGACACAGGUGGUCAGGUAGAGUAUACCAAGGCGCUUGAGAGAAGUAUCCUGAAGGAACUCGGCAAAUUGCCUCCGUACCUUCGGAAGAAGGAGGCCCCGGCUAUGCGCAAGCACUGUCGGGGGGCACAGGCCAGGGGGUAGCGACUGUUUAGCAAAAACACAGGACUCUGCUAAGUCGGCUUCAAGACGACGUAUAGGGUCUGACGCCUGCCCGGUGCCGGAAGGUUAAGAGGAGGAGUGCAAGCUCCGAAUUGAAGCCCCGGUAAACGGCGGCCGUAACUAUAACGGUCCUAAGGUAGCGAAAUUCCUUGUCGGGUAAGUUCCGACCUGCACGAAU